AUUGAACGCUGGCGGCAUGCCUUACACAUGCAAGUCGAACGGUAACAGGUCUUCGGAUGCUGACGAGUGGCGAACGGGUGCGUAAUACAUCGGAACGUGCCCGAUCGUGGGGGAUAACGAGGCGAAAGCUUUGCUAAUACCGCAUACGAUCUACGGAUGAAAGCGGGGGAUCUUCGGACCUCGCGCGGACGGAGCGGCCGAUGGCAGAUUAGGUAGUUGGUGGGAUAAAAGCUUACCAAGCCGACGAUCUGUAGCUGGUCUGAGAGGAUGAUCAGCCACACUGGGACUGAGACACGGCCCAGACUCCCACGGGAGGCAGCAGUGGGGAAUUUUGGACAAUGGGCGAAAGCCUGAUCCAGCCAUGCCGCGUGCAGGAUGAAGGCCUUCGGGUUGUAAACUGCUUUUGUACGGAACGAAAAGCCUCUUUCUAAUAAAGAGGGGUCAUGACGGUACCGUAAGAAUAAGCACCGGCUAACUACGUG
This 482-nucleotide ribosomal RNA is filed under the name uncultured bacterium. Its description in RNAcentral is "partial 16S ribosomal RNA". It matches the Rfam family "Bacterial small subunit ribosomal RNA", at positions 30 to 507 of the family's 1533-position model. The record is from RNAcentral.